Chelonia mydas (Green sea turtle) is the source of this 790-nucleotide long non-coding RNA. RefSeq lists it as uncharacterized. The transcript has 4 exons. NCBI's taxonomy places the organism in Eukaryota, Metazoa, Chordata, Testudines, Cheloniidae. The record is from RefSeq and is a predicted model, not a curated record.
UAGCCCUGGAGAGGGCCUAUCUGCUGGGGAACAUACAGUACCUGAAACUGGAGCAGUGCUGCGGAAAGGGCUGGGGAGCUCCAGCCUGGUAAACCCCUAGGCUUCAGGCCUUGGUGAAGGCCUACACAGAGAGAGAGGCUUUAGAAGAAAGCACCCCCUUGCUGAACAGUCACUGAUGGUAAUAACUGGCCUUUGCAGGGGGAGGGAGAAGACGUAAGCUGAGCCCUACAAAUAACCUCUCAUGGGGCAAAACUCAGGCUGCUUCCAUCCCAAGAUGCACCUUGGCGUCAGAUCCUCCAGAGCUGAGAAAUGAUGCUCUAGUUCCUUACACAUGGGAAGUACAUUAAUUCAAGAGUAGGACUUUCCAAAGCAGCCACCAUUAAUCUGACUGUCCUGCCAUUGAAGACAACCUGCUGGAAGCAGAGAAAGGCCAACACUGGGCACUUUGCAAAAUUCUACGAAGCAAGAGAGCUGCCCUUUGUCAGUCCAACUAAAUGACCUUUGAUUGCCAAGCAUUUCACUAGCUGUGGAUUGUGUUAGAUGUAACGUGUUUUAUUAUUAUUGUUGUUGUUGUUGUUUCCUAUGCUGCAAUUCCCUAUUUUUUCUGCCAAGAUGUUUUCUUUCAUAACAUUCCCACAAACCGUUAGUAAGUAUUUUAAGCUCAAAGUUUCAAUAACUGUAUAACUUUUUUUUAAGUUCAUCCUUCCGUUUUGCAAAAUGUAUUGUAGUUUUGUACGCACACAGAAAAAGGGGGGUAAGGAGAGGCCAUCGAUGGUGUCUAUCAUUUAAA